Molecule: ribosomal RNA, 508 nt
Filed under: uncultured bacterium
Lineage: Bacteria
Description: partial 16S ribosomal RNA
Rfam family: Bacterial small subunit ribosomal RNA
Source: RNAcentral
AUUGAACGCUGGCGGCAUGCCUUACACAUGCAAGUCGAACGGCAGCGGGGGAGAAGCUUGCUUUUCCUGCCGGCGAGUGGCGAACGGGUGAGUAAUACAUCGGAACGUGCCCUGUAGAGGGGGAUAACUAGUCGAAAGAUUAGCUAAUACCGCAUACGACCUGAGGGUGAAAGUGGGGGACCGCAAGGCCUCAUGCUAUAGGAGCGGGCGGUGUCUGAUUAGCUAGUUGGUGGGGUAAAGGCCUACCAAGGCGACGAUCAGUAGCUGGUCUGAGAGGACGAUCAGCCACACUGGGACUGAGACACGGCCCAGACUCCUACGGGAGGCAGCAGUGGGGAAUUUUGGACAAUGGGCGAAAGCCUGAUCCAGCAAUGCCGCGUGUGUGAAGAAGGCCUUCGGGUUGUAAAGCACUUUUGUCCGGAAAGAAAUGGCUCUGGUUAAUACCUGGGGUCGAUGACGGUACCGGAAGAAUAAGGACCGGCUAACUACGUGCCAGCCGCCGCAGUAA